Molecule: transfer RNA, 76 nt
Filed under: Photobacterium phosphoreum
Lineage: Bacteria; Pseudomonadati; Pseudomonadota; Gammaproteobacteria; Vibrionales; Vibrionaceae
Also listed under: 217 other names
Description: tRNA-Val
Rfam family: tRNA
About the family: Transfer RNA (tRNA) molecules are approximately 80 nucleotides in length. Their secondary structure includes four short double-helical elements and three loops (D, anti-codon, and T loops).
Source: RNAcentral
GGGCGAUUAGCUCAGUUGGGAGAGCACCUCCCUUACAAGGAGGGGGUCACUGGUUCGAGCCCGGUAUCGCCCACCA